GACGAACGCUGGCGGCGUGCUUAACACAUGCAAGUCGAACGGAAAGGCCCAGCAUUUGGGGGGUGCUCGGGUGGCGAACGGGUGGGUAAGAAGUGAGUAGCAUGGCCUUGACUUUGGGGUAACUUCUGAAAACUGGGGCUGAUACCACAGAGGAUCUCCUGCGGCGUGAAGGGGGGGGGCAAGGUUCGUCGGGUGGGGAUGGACGCGGGGGUUAUCAGCUUGUGGGGGGGGGAGUGGCUCACCAAGGCUUUGACGGGUAGCCGGCCUGAGAGGGUGACCGGCCACAUUGGGCCUGCGGGACGGCCCAGACUCCUACGGGAGGCAGCAGUGGGGAAUAUUGCCCAAUGGGCGGACGCCUGAGGAAGCAACGCUGCGUGCGGGAUGAAGGCCUUCGGGUUGUAAACCGCUUUCGCCUGUGACGAACCGUGAGUGACGGUAACGGGUAAAGAAGCACCGGCUAACUACGUG
This 468-nucleotide ribosomal RNA is filed under the name uncultured bacterium. RNAcentral describes it as "partial 16S ribosomal RNA". It matches the Rfam family "Bacterial small subunit ribosomal RNA", at positions 28 to 507 of the family's 1533-position model. The record is from RNAcentral.